Molecule: ribosomal RNA, 506 nt
Filed under: uncultured bacterium
Lineage: Bacteria
Description: partial 16S ribosomal RNA
Rfam family: Bacterial small subunit ribosomal RNA
Source: RNAcentral
AGUGAACGCUGGCGGCAGGCCUAACACAUGCAAGUCGAACGGCAGCACAGAGGAGCUUGCUCCUUGGGUGGCGAGUGGCGGACGGGUGAGGAAUGCAUCGGAAUCUGCCCAAUCGUGGGGGAUAACCUCGGGAAACCGGGACUAAUACCGCAUACGACCUUCGGGUGAAAGCAGGGGAUCGCAAGACCUUGCGCGAUUGGAUGAGCCGAUGCCGGAUUAGCUAGUUGGCGGGGUAAAGGCCCACCAAGGCGACGAUCCGUAGCUGGUCUGAGAGGAUGAUCAGCCACACUGGAACUGAGACACGGUCCAGACUCCUACGGGAGGCAGCAGUGGGGAAUAUUGGACAAUGGGCGCAAGCCUGAUCCAGCCAUGCCGCGUGGGUGAAGAAGGCCUUCGGGUUGUAAAGCCCUUUUGUUGGGAAAGAAAAGCAAUCGGUUAAUACCCGGUUGUUCUGACGGUACCCAAAGAAUAAGCACCGGCUAACUUCGUGCCAGCCGCCGCAGUAA